GGAUACGGCCAUACUGCGGAGAAAGCACCGCUUCCCGUCCGAUCAGCGAAGUUAAGCUCCGCCAGGCGAUGUUAGUACUGGGGUGGGUGACCACCCGGGAAUCCAUCGUGCUGUAUCCUUUU
Molecule: ribosomal RNA, 122 nt
Filed under: Balamuthia mandrillaris
Lineage: Eukaryota; Discosea; Longamoebia; Balamuthiidae
Source: RNAcentral